CAACUGGGGAACCUACUUUGGACCAAACAAGGUCCUCUGAAUAUAAAAAAAGAUAUGAAGAAAAUGACACAUCCAUGAAGCUCUUCCCCAAAUACUGUGGAAACGGAGUUCCAAUGUCAACUGCAAGAAUCUAGAAAGUUCUGUAUACUCGAAUCUACCUAUAGUCAAGAGUGGCCAUAUAGAUGUUUUGCAUCCAAUAGAUCUACUCAGCAGGUCCUGGAUCCAUAGCCAAAGUCCCUUUUAUCAUGCUACAGAAGGAGAGCUGUUAUCUUUUAUAUUGGGUUUUUGAGAGCAAAAGGACCAGUUUCAUGACUUUCUUACCAGUAAGGCAGCAUGCUACCUUUAUGUCUAUACAAGAGAACAGGUAGCGACUCCGAAGAUCAGCCCCAAUGAACAUGUCAGUGUUGACUUUACAAGAAUAUGAAUUCGAAAAGCAGUUCAACAGGAAUGAAGCCAUCCAAUGGAUGCAGAA
Myodes glareolus (Bank vole) is the source of this 472-nucleotide non-coding RNA. The record is from RefSeq and is a predicted model, not a curated record. Lineage: Eukaryota; Metazoa; Chordata; Mammalia; Rodentia; Cricetidae.